CCAGCGCCCUUGCCCGCCACCCCUAGCCCCAGCCAGGAAGGAGAUGGCAGGUGUCCCCGCCGCUGUCGAGGGGUCAGGCCGCGGUGGGAAGCGCGAGGAGCCAGGUUUGGUUGCAGGGGGAUAAUCCUAAACCUCAGUGCUGUGAAGAUUAAAUGAGAUACGGGAAAUGUUUGCAACAGUGUCUGGCACUCAGUGAGUGCCAGGCUGGAGUGAAGUGGCGCGGUCUCAGCUCACUGCAACCUCCGCUUCCCGGUUUCAAGCGAUUCUCCUGCCUCUCAGCCUCUCAAGUAGCCGGAUUACAGGCGCCCACCACCAUGCCUGGCUAAUUUUGUUUUUUUAGUAGAGAUGGGGUUUCGCCAUAUUGCCCAGGCUGGUCUUGGACUCCUGACCUCAGGUCGUCCUCCCGCCUCAGCCUCCCAAAAUGCUGGGAUUAUAGGCAUGAGCCACCACGUCCAGCCAAGAUCUUCAUGCUUUUAAAUAGUUAGGCAAUGUUUGUUUGUUUUUAAUUAAAC
Molecule: long non-coding RNA, 512 nt
Organism: Pongo pygmaeus (Bornean orangutan)
Lineage: Eukaryota; Metazoa; Chordata; Mammalia; Primates; Hominidae
Exons: 3
Source: RefSeq, a predicted model, not a curated record